This 253-nucleotide ribosomal RNA is filed under the name uncultured bacterium. RNAcentral's name for it is "partial 16S ribosomal RNA". It matches the Rfam family "Bacterial small subunit ribosomal RNA", at positions 524 to 776 of the family's 1533-position model. The record is from RNAcentral.
UACGUAGGGGGCGAGCGUUGUCCGGAUUUAUUGGGCGUAAAGGGCGUGUAGGCGGCCAGGUGGGUCUGCUGUGAAAACUCGCGGCUCAACCUCGAGACGUCGGCGGAAACCAUCUGGCUAGAGUCCGGAAGAGGAGAGUGGAAUUCCUGGUGUAGCGGUGAAAUGCGCAGAUAUCAGGAAGAACACCCGUGGCGAAGGCGGCUCUCUGGGACGGUACUGACGCUGAGACGCGAAAGCGUGGGGAGCGAACAGG